Molecule: RNA transcript, 4517 nt
Organism: Mus pahari (shrew mouse)
Lineage: Eukaryota; Metazoa; Chordata; Mammalia; Rodentia; Muridae
Gene: Ube2g1
Gene name: ubiquitin conjugating enzyme E2 G1
Exons: 6
Source: RefSeq, a predicted model, not a curated record
AGUGAGGCAGUGGCGGGGGAAGGCACCGGUGGGGCCGACGGGCGGGCUGAGGAGGGAAGCGGGCGAGCGAAGUCCCAGUGCGCGCCGCGGCGGCCCGGGUACCCUCCCCUUCCGGGCGUGAGGCGCCGAGAGAGGAAAGCCGAGCGGAGCGGACUCGCACAGGCGGCGAGGUGCUUCUCGGGUCUCCCAAGACCGGCCUCCCCGCGGCUUCGGCGCUCCGGUCCGGGUUCCUCAACACACACCUAGCUCCAGGCACCGGCAGAGCUUGUCGCCAGUCCGUCGGAGCCCCGGUGGCGGCCCGGGCUCUCGGUGGGGAGGAUGACGGAGCUGCAGUCGGCGCUGCUACUGCGAAGACAGCUGGCAGAACUCAACAAAAAUCCAGUGGAAGGCUUUUCAGCAGGUUUAAUAGAUGACAAUGAUCUCUAUCGUUGGGAAGUCCUUAUUAUUGGUCCUCCAGAUACACUUUAUGAAGGUGGUGUUUUUAAGGCUCAUCUCACUUUCCCAAAAGAUUAUCCCCUCCGGCCUCCUAAAAUGAAAUUCAUUACAGAGAUUUGGCACCCAAAUGUUGAUAAAAAUGGUGAUGUUUGCAUUUCUAUUCUUCAUGAGCCUGGGGAGGAUAAAUAUGGUUAUGAGAAGCCAGAGGAACGCUGGUUACCUAUCCAUACUGUGGAAACCAUCAUGAUUAGUGUCAUUUCUAUGCUGGCAGAUCCUAAUGGAGACUCACCUGCAAAUGUAGAUGCUGCAGUAAGAAAGAAUGGAGGGAAGACAGAAAUGGAGAAUUUAAAAGGAAAGUUGCCCGCUGUGUAAGAAAAAGCCAAGAAACUGCUUUUGAGUGAUGUUUAUUCAAUAGCUAGUAACUUCACUUAUUUCAGGGUCUCCAAUUGAGAAACAUGGCACUGUUUUUCCUGCACUCUACCCACCUAUUGCUGGACUUCUGUUGUAAUAAGUUGGCAAACUCUGGCUGGAACUGGGCUGCAAUAAAACAUGCCAGUCAUUAAUGCUGACAAGAGCCUAACAAGUGCCAACUAAAGAUGAUUACGCAUUUUGAAUUCUAAUGAACUGUUUUAACCUUCAGGAAGAAUUCUAAAGACCUGUACAUAGCACAACAUGAUCCGGAUAAUAUAUAUACUGUUCAUGUACAUCCACAAACACACCUUGUACCAAAUAAUGCUUUCUUGUAGUAGAAUAAGAAUCGUGUAAAUUCUUAAAGACUUUAGUGGGUUUUCUUUUCCCAUUCAUUGUUUUUUUAUCAGUUCAAAAAGAUUCCUGAAAGCAUGUCAGGUGAAAACCAGUAAGGAUGAAAAGUUUCCAUAUAAUUUCCUUUAAACCAUUGAGUCUUUCAUUACAUUCUUUCCAUUUACUAAUCUUUUAUAUUUUCUUUGUUUUGUCACUCUCCCCUUUCCUUUUAUCUCUUAUAUCUGCCAGAAAGUUCUCAAAUCAUUUAGUUAAAAUACUGAAAUACUAGUAAAUUACUUGAGUUUUCACGAUGACUUCAGAGGAGGGGUCAUCACUAGGUGCUUUGUCCUUUUUGUACUCUGAUUCACCCAUCUCUUGGAUUGGAUGUAGCAAUAACAUUUUCUGGCUGUUGAGAGCUCUUGAUCCUAGUCAUUAUCUCCUGAGAACUUUAAAAACAAAAUGUAAAGGCUGUUCUAAGUUCAUCUUAGUGAGAUUUAUUCCAAAUAAUACAAAAAUCCAAAUUUGGUUUUAUUUUUGCCCUUAAGUUGUCUAAUAUUAAGGUUGGAUGAAUAUAGCAUGCACAGCUACAGGCUUUCUACAUCUGGGAUUGCUAUUUAAAAUGCUAUUUGUCCUAUUACCCUUCUCCUUAGUCCAUAUUUGUUUCUUCUUACAGCAGAUUUUCCUUACCUAUUGUACAAAGAAAUUGCGAUGUAUAUUUUCAUGUAAUUUGAUUUUGGAAUUUUGUCACCUUAUGUAGUGAGUUCUUCCAAAAUAUAAUUUUUUUCCAAUAAUUGUCAAGUUGUUGGCUUUUAUUGUAUUAAAUGAAGGUUAUAGUACUGAAUACCAGAGAAGUGCAGUUUAGAAAAAAAUCUCAGGUUGAUUCCUUAUGCAAACAAACUUAAUACUUGAAAAUCUCAUGGCCAUGGCAGUAUACUAUUGGGUUCUGUCUACAUUCUUUGAAUCUGAAAGUAUUAUAGAGGAAAGUCCUUUGCUAACUGACAUUCAGAUUUUGUCACUGACAUAGUGCACUUAGAUUUGAUUUUUGCUUGAGUGUAAGUAUGUUUCCUAAGCAGUUUUAUAAAACAACUUCAGUGAUGGGUAAAAUUAGUACAUUAAAUGUUGAAGAUAGGCAGGCCUAAGCUCCUGUCUGGUUUUAGCUGAGAAUGGGAAGUCGUGUUUGGUAUAUAAGAGCUAGAGAGCAUAAAACAGUACUUGUUACUUGAUGCUGUUUGAGUGUGAGAAUAGGUGUGGCUCUGCCCUUGGGGUUUGGAUAAAUCUUUUGGCAGAAGAGGGAAUGAAAGGAUUCCUGUCCAAGUUAGACCUUUCAACUUAUGUCUUUUUAAAGCAGAGGGAGAAUGGAUCAAGAUGUGGCUGUGACACAGCAACAUUUUAAAGUUUUCUUAGAAGCAUUGUAAAGUCCUAUAAGCAUGAAAACCCGUAACUAUGUAGCAACUGUGAACACUUCGGUUUUGUUGGAGCCCAAUAAAUCUUCAAGAACUUUUAGAUACCUGUUUCCCACCCCAGACUAGAAGAGUUAACAACUACAGUGCUACUGUCUUCCUAUAAGGGACAUUCAGAAAUUGUUCCCACAGUGGUUGCUUUCACAAAUGUGGAGUUGGAUUUUUGAUCUAUUGCUGUGAUUCAAGCAGUCUGUUGAAUUAAAAUCCAGGGUGUGACUGCUAAACAAGUAGUAAAUUACCUAGUAACUCAGGGACAACUAUUUCUGAACUUAUAAGUGGCACUGUAAUAUAUUUAUUUACCUUUGGAUAACCUUGUGUUUCUUUGGGUUAGAUCAAGGACUACUGGAAAGGUAGGAGUGGUUGCCUUUCUCCUGAAGCUCUUUCCCCUCAUGGUGCCCUGACCAUUCUCUACACAUGAAACGAGCCUGAGCCUAAAUGUUAGGGCUUGCUUUUCUGUCAGAGGUGUCAUCUGUGCCUUUCCUAGUGUUCAUCUGACAAUGUGGAUUUCAAUGCCUCUGCAUUUGACUUAAACUAAUACUCAGGAGGCACUAAACCAAGUGGCAUUUCUCCCAGUAAUGCAUCAUCAUUAGUGUUAGGCAAUUAUGUUUUAGAAAAGGUCCCAUCACUACCCCAAAACCUUGCCACCUAUGUCCACCCAUCAGCUACUCCCACAGAAUUUUUUAGAUUAUAGAAUUGUUGGCUGUUAACUAAUUUGCUCAAAGUUCUUGUAGAGGAUUACAAAUUUUAGUCUGUUUUUGUAAUGGGAUAAUACUGAUGGCUUUAUGACCUCAGAGUUUAAAAUUCACAUGGAAUUGAUAUUCUUGUCUUUAGAAGGUAAUGCUUGAACAUUUGAUUUUUCUAUUCUGUGAUACCUGGGUGUCAUACUGUCUAAUGGCCUUUGGUCCCAAUUGUGAAAUUUUAUAUAAGCUCAUUCAUUCUCUACAAACCUGCCCCCUUUGGGUCUUGGUGCCUGUGUAUCAUUGUCUGGUCUCUAGUUGGUGGAAUUGCCCUUUUUUGUACUGCCACUUCUCAACAUUUUUGAAGUUUGACAUAAUGUUGCUUCAUUCCAGUUUUUUUUUUUUUUUUUUUUAGUUCUGUAAUUUGUUGACUGUAUUUAACUAUGUGAGCUUUUUUUUUUCUGUGAUGUUUACUGUAUUGUAAAGCACCUUAAUCAUGUGAUGGGUGCUCUAUAAAUCAAUAAAUGAUGACUUAGAGGCUGUAUUAUGAGCUAUUUUGGUUUUAGGUUGCAGGUCUCAAGCAAGUUGUGGGAUGCUUUGUAUAGAAACAGCAUAUAAUACCAAAUGAUACACACACACAAACUUUGAUGGAUCCAUAAGCUUUAUUUUAGGAAGGAAUUUGAAAGCAAGAGUUAACUUGACUUCCAGUCUGAUAAGAUGCCCUUUAAAUUUCCAGUGCAUGGUCUAACGUCGUUUUAUUGUUUUAUCAAGAGUUUCUGUUCAUGGUGACUUAGAGGUUUGAAGUGAACAUUUGGCAGAACAAUAUUGGGGAUCUGUCUUGCUUAAAUUAGGCUAGUUCUGCCUUAGAGAUCAGCAAAUUUAUGAGGAACCUAGACUCAGAUGUGAACUGGAUGAAACCACCUCCCCUCUAAACAAAUUGCCAUCUCUGCCAGGUGUGAUUUGACUAACACUUUCUCUUAAAGAUAAUAGUAUCUACUUGUCUUGAGUCCUCAGAUAGUUUAUAUGUAUUUAGUGGUAGAAACUGAUAACUUAAUGUAUUGAUAAUUAUGCUCAUCUAUAAGUUUCUAGUAGCUGUUUGGCCUCUUCCUUAUAAACCGGAAGACUAUGCAGCCAGAUAUCUUAGAGCUAAAUUAGAAACAAGAAAAUUUAACCCUGAUAAAUACAUUUAGAAUAAAAUUGCUAU